This 253-nucleotide ribosomal RNA is filed under the name uncultured bacterium. RNAcentral's name for it is "partial 16S ribosomal RNA". It matches the Rfam family "Bacterial small subunit ribosomal RNA", at positions 524 to 776 of the family's 1533-position model. The record is from RNAcentral.
UACGUAGGGUGCGAGCGUUAAUCGGAAUUACUGGGCGUAAAGCGUGCGCAGGCGGUUAUGUAAGACAGGUGUGAAAUCCCCGGGCUUAACCUGGGAAUGGCACUUGAAACUACGGGACUGGAGUAUGGCAGAGGGAGGUGGAAUUCCACGUGUAGCGGUGAAAUGCGUAGAGAUGUGGAGGAACACCGAUGGCGAAGGCAGCCUCCUGGGCCAAUACUGACGCUCAUGCACGAAAGCGUGGGGAGCAAACAGG